GGAGUGCAUGGAAGAACACAUUGGUGUUCAGGUGGAUGGUGACGAUGCUGAUACUCUUGUGUCUUGCCGGCGCUGGUGCCGCGGGCUUCACCUUCGACAAGUACAACCUGAGGGUCCCAUCACAUAAUAUUUUUCUGGUAUUAUUUGAACAUGUGGCUGGUAUUAUAGGUUUCAGAGAACGACAUAUGAUCUUGGAAUUGUCAAUUCGGUUCUAUGAAGGUAUUAGGUGCUUAGUUGGAGGUACAUAUUCAAGGUUGAGGCUGAAAUGCACGAUGUAGAAAGUAUGGUGCCAAACAUGGAGGAGCCCCUUGUUGGGGGCAACGUUGAGAAGAUAGAGGGACAGGAGAUAGGUUGGUACUGAUUGAGGUUAAGAAGAAGUUGUACCGUGCUGGGCAUAUCGCUGUUGGAUUUCAUGAAUUAUUAUAGAUGUAUGAGUAGAAGAAAUUCAAAUGGGAAGCAUAGUUGAAGAAUGCUGAUGACAAUGAGCGCUCAUUGUGGUCGAUGUGAACAUUGAAAAGAUGGGAUGCAUUCAGGAAAUGGGGUUGAAGAUAUUCCGUCUGCUGCCACAUUCAAUGUCAUCGCAAAUGAUACAUCACCAAGCAUAAUCUCGAAUGGUAUAGGAAAAGGAUCUAUUGUUGAGCCAGUUGAUUCUUUUUUCCUGGAUAUGUUUCCCCCUUUCUACAUAAAUAUCAAUAACUAUCAGUAGAAAUCCAUAAAUAGAUAAUAUUAAGUACUCUUAUAAGGCACAUUUAUUUAUAUUUUUCAUGAGACCAACCUUUACAAUUUUGUGUAUAUUAGCAUCUAAAGUUUAAUUUUGGCAAGUUUGGUUACACACAUUGAAAUGGUUGUAAUGGGACAAUAAUAUGUUUUUUUG
This is a non-coding RNA of Lolium perenne, 874 nucleotides long. The record is from RefSeq and is a predicted model, not a curated record. NCBI's taxonomy places the organism in Eukaryota, Viridiplantae, Streptophyta, Magnoliopsida, Poales, Poaceae.